RNAcentral lists this transfer RNA (71 nucleotides) under Loxodonta africana (African savanna elephant). It matches the Rfam family "tRNA". From Rfam's summary of the family: Transfer RNA (tRNA) molecules are approximately 80 nucleotides in length. Their secondary structure includes four short double-helical elements and three loops (D, anti-codon, and T loops). The record is from Rfam by way of RNAcentral. Lineage: Eukaryota; Metazoa; Chordata; Mammalia; Proboscidea; Elephantidae.
GCAGCGAUGGUUCAGAGGUAGAAUUCUUGCUUCCCAUGUGGGAGACCUGGGUUCAAUUCCCCGCCAAUGUG